This 168-nucleotide ribosomal RNA is filed under the name uncultured Bacillota bacterium. RNAcentral's name for it is "uncultured Firmicutes bacterium partial 16S ribosomal RNA". It matches the Rfam family "Bacterial small subunit ribosomal RNA", at positions 338 to 524 of the family's 1533-position model. The record is from RNAcentral. Lineage: Bacteria; Bacillati; Bacillota.
CCUACGGGAGGCAGCAGUGGGGAAUAUUGCACAAUGGGCGAAAGCCUGAUGCAGCAACGCCGCGUGAGUGAUGAAGGCCUUCGGGUUGUAAAACUCUGUCUUUGGGGACGAUAAUGACGGUACCAAGGAGGAAGCCACGGCUAACUACGUGCCAGCAGCCGCGGUAAU